AUACGUAGGGGGCGAGCGUUGUCCGGAAUUACUGGGCGUAAAGGGCGUGUAGGCGGCCUAAUAAGUCAGGUGUGAAAUUCCAAGGCUUAACCUUGGCGCUGCACUUGAAACUGUUGGGCUUGAGGUCAGGAGAGGGAAGCGGAAUUCCCAGUGUAGCGGUGAAAUGCGUAGAUAUUGGGAGGAACACCAGUGGCGAAGGCGGCUUCCUGGACUGCACCUGACGCUGAGGCGCGAAAGCUAGGGUAGCGAACGGGAUUAGAUACCCCGGUAGUCCUAGCCGUAAACGAUGGGUACUAGGUGUGGGAGGUAUCGACCCCUUCCGUGCCGCAGUUAACGCAAUAAGUACCCCGCCUGGGGAGUACGGCCGCAAGGCUGAA
This 377-nucleotide ribosomal RNA is filed under the name uncultured bacterium. RNAcentral describes it as "bacterial SSU rRNA". It matches the Rfam family "Bacterial small subunit ribosomal RNA", at positions 523 to 898 of the family's 1533-position model. The record is from RNAcentral.